AAUCAGAUUUCGGGGUGGCCUUAAAGGCCUGAGAUUAUACCCGUUGAACCUGAUCUGGGUCAUGCCAGCGUAGGGAUAAGAAGGAAGGCUCCAU
This 94-nucleotide non-coding RNA is filed under the name uncultured Desulfatiglans sp. RNAcentral describes it as "TPP". It matches the Rfam family "TPP riboswitch aptamer (THI element)". From Rfam's summary of the family: Vitamin B(1) in its active form thiamin pyrophosphate (TPP) is an essential coenzyme that is synthesised by coupling of pyrimidine and thiazole moieties in bacteria. The previously detected thiamin-regulatory element, thi box was extended, resulting in a new, highly conserved RNA secondary structure, the THI element, which is widely distributed in eubacteria and also occurs in some archaea. Analysis of operon structures identified a large number of new candidate thiamin-regulated genes, mostly transporters, in various prokaryotic organisms. Lineage: Bacteria; Pseudomonadati; Thermodesulfobacteriota; Desulfobacteria; Desulfatiglandales; Desulfatiglandaceae. The record is from RNAcentral.